UGGGGAAUAUUGGGCAAUGGGCGCAAGCCUGACCCAGCAACGCCGCGUGAAGGAAGAAGGCUUUCGGGUUGUAAACUUCUUUUAAGUGGGAAGAGUAGAAGACGGUACCACUUGAAUAAGCCACGGCUAACUACGUGCCAGCAGCCGCGGUAAUACGUAGGUGGCAAGCGUUGUCCGGAUUUACUGGGUGUAAAGGGCGUGCAGCCGGGCAUGCAAGUCAGAUGUGAAAUCUCAGGGCUUAACCCUGAAACUGCAUUUGAAACUGUAUGUCUUGAGUGCCGGAGAGGUAAUCGGAAUUCCUUGUGUAGCGGUGAAAUGCGUAGAUAUAAGGAAGAACACCAGUGGCGAAGGCGGAUUACUGGACGGUAACUGACGGUGAGGCGCGAAAGCGUGGGGAGCGAACAGGAUUAGAUACCCUGGUAGUCCACGCUGUAAACGAUGGAUACUAGGUGUGCGGGGACUGACCCCCUGCGUGCCGCAGUUAACACAAUAAGUAUCCCACCUGGGGAGUACGAUCGCAAGGUUGAAACUCAAAGGAAUUGACGGGGGCCCGCACAAGCGGUGGAUUAUGUGGUUUAAUUCGAAGCAACGCGAAGAGCCUUACCAGGUCUUGACAUCCUGCUAACGAAGUAGAGAUACAUUAGGUGCCCUUCGGGGAAAGCAGAGACAGGUGGUGCAUGGUUGUCGUCAGCUCGUGUCGUGAGAUGUUGGGUUAAGUCCCGCAACGAGCGCAACCCCUAUUGUUAGUUGCUACGCAAGAGCACUCUAGCGAGACUGCCGUUGACAAAACGGAGGAAGGUGGGGACGACGUCAAAUCAUCAUGCCCCUUAUGACCUGGGCUACACACGUAAUACAAUGGCGGUCAACAAAGGGAUGCAAAGCCGCGAGGCAGAGCGAACCCCAAAAAGCCGUCCCAGUUCGGAUCGCAGGCUGCAACCCGCCUGCGUGAAGUCGGAAUCGCUAGUAAUCGUGGGUCAGCAUACCACGGUGAAUACGUUCCC
RNAcentral lists this ribosomal RNA (1001 nucleotides) under uncultured bacterium. RNAcentral describes it as "bacterial SSU rRNA". It matches the Rfam family "Bacterial small subunit ribosomal RNA", at positions 355 to 1375 of the family's 1533-position model. The record is from RNAcentral.